GGUAACGGCCUACCAAACCGACGAUCAGUAGCCGGCCUGAGAGGGUGGACGGCCACAUUGGAACUGAGAAACGGUCCAGACUCCUACGGGAGGCAGCAGUGGGGAAUAUUGGGCAAUGGAGGCAACUCUGACCCAGCAACGCCGCGUGAAUGAUGAAGGUCUUCGGAUUGUAAAGUUCUGUGACGGGGACGAACACAAUGACGGUACCCGACAGCAAGCCACGGCUAACUAC
This 232-nucleotide ribosomal RNA is filed under the name uncultured bacterium. Its description in RNAcentral is "partial 16S ribosomal RNA". It matches the Rfam family "Bacterial small subunit ribosomal RNA", at positions 256 to 504 of the family's 1533-position model. The record is from RNAcentral.